This 296-nucleotide ribosomal RNA is filed under the name Parahaemophilus parainfluenzae. Its description in RNAcentral is "Haemophilus parainfluenzae (human oral metagenome) partial 16S ribosomal RNA". It matches the Rfam family "Bacterial small subunit ribosomal RNA", at positions 1 to 291 of the family's 1533-position model. The record is from RNAcentral. Lineage: Bacteria; Pseudomonadati; Pseudomonadota; Gammaproteobacteria; Pasteurellales; Pasteurellaceae.
UUGAAUUGAAGAGUUUGAUCAUGGCUCAGAUUGAACGCUGGCGGCAGGCUUAACACAUGCAAGUCGAACGGUAACAUAAAGAAGCUUGCUUCUUUGAUGACGAGUGGCGGACGGGUGAGUAAUGCUUGGGAAUCUAGCUUAUGGAGGGGGAUAACUACGGGAAACUGUAGCUAAUACCGCGUAAUAUCGAAAGAUUAAAGUGUGGGACCUUCGGGCCACAUGCCAUAGGAUGAGCCCAAGUGGGAUUAGGUAGUUGGUGAGGUAAAGGCUCACCAAGCCGACGAUCUCUAGCUGGU